Non-coding RNA from Pocillopora verrucosa, 2745 nucleotides. NCBI's taxonomy places the organism in Eukaryota, Metazoa, Cnidaria, Anthozoa, Scleractinia, Pocilloporidae. The record is from RefSeq and is a predicted model, not a curated record.
AUCCGCAGGGACAGCGGCUCUGUUAAAACAGAUGGAAAACUUCAGCGGAAACUUAGCCAGAAGUCUACCGUACUUAAAACGAGACUCGCGCAGAUACAGGCGCUCUACCGAAAGCAUUUUGCCACCGUACACGAUUAUUACUCCCAAUAUUGUUAUGGAACUUCAUCCAGUGUAUGUCAAAGGAUUCUCUGGAUUAUCGUACCCCGCGAGAAGAGACCUUUACAGCGACUCUCCUUAUAAAAUUUGGCGUAAUAUCUCCAAUAGAAUUUACCUUCCUAAACCUUUCUUUCAUGGAAAAGAUGUGGAAGACAACAUAGGAGUUGGCUUCAUGAUCAUCAGAAAUAUCGGAGAUUUAUUACCCAAAGCGUUUGACGCGAAGACGCGUGACUCGAAGUACAACGUUGAAGUCAGCUCUGAUGUCGUCUCUGUCAAGUUACCUCAGAUGGAAAUGGCUCCUUUAACAUAUCCUGUCCGCAUUGCCUUUGCCAACAGACUUGUGAAUCGAUCGUCUUACAUUUGUGUGCACUGGAAUUAUUCAGUACCAGACACGCGUGGUGGUGGUUGGUCACAUUACGGGUGUAAAUCAGUGAAGUCCAAUAGAACUCACACAGUGUGCUCUUGCACUCACCUAACGGCUUUUGCAGUCCUGUCAGACUUAAAUCUUCAGUAUCGCGAGCAAGCAGCCUUUGCCAUGCGUUUGGUGACGUACAUUGGUAUAUCGGUGUCCCUUGUUCUGUUACUGACAGUUUUUAUACUAUUCUUGUGUCUAAGCAAUCUGAAGAGCAACUCGAUAACAAUUCAUAAGAACCUUAUUGUGGCGGUCUUCGUCGCGGAGCUGACGUUCCUCUUGGGAAGCAACAGAACGGCAGAUCAGAGAUUGUGUCAGUUGAUCGCCAUAGUGCUGCAUUAUUUCUUCAGCGCCUCUUUCUCGUGGAUGUUCGUCGAAGGUCUGCACAUGUAUCGCAGGCUCAGGGGAAAAGAGGAAUAUAGACACUGGCAAAAGUCCUUCUAUUUCUUCAUGGGGUGGGGAUGUCCCGCUAUUGUGGUCGGAAUUUCCGCUGGCUUAGCGAACGAGGGCUACGGAAACCAGAGAUUGUUCGGAAAGAGUUCAAGAAUGUGUACAUGCGCUUGAAGACUGAGGACAAGACAUACGGGAUACAGAAACCCACGCAGCAUUUUAAACGCUCCUAUCACCUUGGGGAGACGGCACCUCUCCGAUUCCCGUAUGAUUUUGACGAUGAUGGAAACGCCACCAGCACAUCUACCACGGAGCCAUCCAGCAGUGGUUUCCGUAGCAGUGUAACGAGUCGGUUUACCACAGACAACAAUGUCACGGAUACUAUGAGAGAUGAAGAUACCAGUGCACCAGAUGGAAAAUCGCGAAAGGCCAAGUACCCUGAUAAUCCUGAACUCGAGUGGCAUUAUCAUUGUUGACGAAUGUAAACUUGCCGUGGCAGUGAAUUUUGGGACCAAAGCAGCCUCCUUCUCAUGUGCCGCAGCACGGCAGCUUCAAAUUAAAGAUGAAUCGGAAAAUUACAGGCCCUCUUCUUCUCGGUGGGCUCGUGCAGCUACCAAUUAAAUUCCCAGUCCUCUACAAACAUUUUACUGGCUGCAUCAGAAAUGUUUACAUCAAUCACGAGUUCUUGGACCUCAGUCAGCCAUUGUACAACAACGACGGAACCAGUGCUAAAUGUAAAGCAAUGGGCAACACGUGCGCAUAUAAACCUUGCGGGCGAGGCACGUGUUUUAACAUACUUGGUUCUCACCGGUGUGACUGUCCCACUGGGUUUGAUGGAAGUCGCGGUGAAACAGGUGUGAAAUACACUAGGAGAUUCUCAAGACGGAGUUUUAAGAGGGUGCCUGCCAACUCAAAGGUCAAUCUUCUGUGGAGUGUUUCAAUGAGAUUCCGCACAGCUAAGCCUUCAGGAACUCUGUUUGAAAUCUCUUUUUCGUCAUCAUCUUCGGUGCCGGAGUUGGUUGAUGGUAAACUGUCGUACAACUACAAAGAGUUGUUGGUUCUCCAAUUGCCUCACAUAGCGGUGAAUGAUACCCAGUGGCAUCACAAGUCAGACAUGAAUUAUCAAAAGAUGUAUUUGAAAUGUCGUCAGAAGAAUUGUAAUCUAUUCCAUUGGUGGCGUUACAAACCCUCCAGGAAAACACAGCAAAUUCUGUGUGCUGACAUGGAAUGACAUUUUUUGUCGUAGAUAGACGACAUCAUCUUGCACUGGCCUUAUUUUAAACUGUAGAAGAAGAAGGAGUAGAUGCAUGGGUUGAAAAAUUUUCGGACGGUAAAUGGCGAAGUUACGCCUAAGAACUUAUGGGUUUUAAACCUCAUGAACUCGAUGCCUUAGAACAAGGAGAUCCUAGAGAUUUUCUAACAUUUAUAUCAAUUUUAAGUAAAAUGGUAUAAUUCGCGUUUUUCAGAGCGUAGAUUUAAGGAAGGCAUAUCCACAGAUGAAGAACUGUUCUUAUUAGCUCAGGAAUUAGCCAAAGAAGAUCCUAAAAAAGUGGAAGAAUUUUUCACGAUUUUAUUUCAAAAAUGAAUUUUGUAAAUUUUUUGAUUUUUUAAUAGGUGAGCUUUCUGAAGAAGAGCAUGCACAUAUUGCGCAGAGGAUUGGAUUAUCGUUGUUUAGGAGGUUAGCUCCACGACUAGGCCUAACUAGUAGUGAACUGGAAUGUUUAGAAAACGAGGUCAUGUGUCUGGAGUGUUAUAAUGCGGAUAAAUAAAAUGUGUGUAAAUUGAAA